UGAGUAACACGUGGGUGAUCUGCCCUGCACUUUGGGAUAAGCCUGGGAAACUGGGUCUAAUACCGAAUAGGACCGCGCUCUUCAUGGGGUGUGGUGGAAAGCUUUUGCGGUGUGGGAUGGGCCCGCGGCCUAUCAGCUUGUUGGUGGGGUAAUGGCCUACCAAGGCGACGACGGGUAGCCGGCCUGAGAGGGUGACCGGCCACACUGGGACUGAGAUACGGCCCAGACUCCUACGGGAGGCAGCAGUGGGGAAUAUUGCACAAUGGGCGCAAGCCUGAUGCAGCGACGCCGCGUGAGGGAUGACGGCCUUCGGGUUGUAAACCUCUUUCAAUAGGGACGAAGCGCAAGUGACGGUACCUAUAGAAGAAGGACCGGCCAACUACGUGCCAGCAGCCGCGGUAAUACGUAGGGUCCGAGCGUUGUCCGGAAUUACUGGGCGUAAAGAGCUCGUAGGUGGUUUGUCGCGUUGUUCGUGAAAACUCACAGCUUAACUGUGGGCGUGCGGGCGAUACGGGCAGACUAGAGUACUGCAGGGGAGACUGGAAUUCCUGGUGUAGCGGUGGAAUGCGCAGAUAUCAGGAGGAACACCGGUGGCGAAGGCGGGUCUCUGGGCAGUAACUGACGCUGAGGAGCGAAAGCGUGGGGAGCGAACAGGAUUAGAUACCCUGGUAGUCCACGCCGUAAACGGUGGGUACUAGGUGUGGGUUUCCUUCCUUGGGAUCCGUGCCGUAGCUAACGCAUUAAGUACCCCGCCUGGGGGAGUACGGCCGCAAGGCUAAAACUCAAAAGGAAUUGACGGGGGGCCCGCACAA
RNAcentral lists this ribosomal RNA (812 nucleotides) under Mycobacterium sp. RNAcentral describes it as "bacterial SSU rRNA". It matches the Rfam family "Bacterial small subunit ribosomal RNA", at positions 107 to 928 of the family's 1533-position model. Lineage: Bacteria; Bacillati; Actinomycetota; Actinomycetes; Mycobacteriales; Mycobacteriaceae. The record is from RNAcentral.